Molecule: non-coding RNA, 346 nt
Organism: Oryzias latipes (Japanese medaka)
Lineage: Eukaryota; Metazoa; Chordata; Actinopteri; Beloniformes; Adrianichthyidae
Source: RefSeq, a predicted model, not a curated record
UCACAUGGGAACCAUUUGGGUCAUUCUGAUGGGAGGAGCCAGCUGUUUACGUCGGUGCAGUUCUGUGAUUGGACCAGAAUGAACCGCCUGGAAUUUCUACAGGGUCUCCACAGCCAAUCAGCUUCCUCCGUCCGUCUCCUGCAUCCUCUACCAGCAGCUACCUUCAAGUCUUCCUUCUCUGCAUCCGGAAUCCCCCUCUCUUCCUCUAGACUCAGCAUCCUUCAGUCUCUCCUCUGGACAUGUCCCAACCAUCUCAGUCUGACUGGAUCUCCAGAACCUCUAACAUGUUUUGUCCCUCUGAUAUCCUCAUUCCUGAUAAUAAUAAAAAUAAUAAUUAAAGCUGCAA